This 490-nucleotide ribosomal RNA is filed under the name uncultured bacterium. Its description in RNAcentral is "partial 16S ribosomal RNA". It matches the Rfam family "Bacterial small subunit ribosomal RNA", at positions 28 to 507 of the family's 1533-position model. The record is from RNAcentral.
GAUGAACGCUCGCGCUAGGCUUAACACAUGCAAGUCGAGGGGCAGCAUGGUCUUAGCUUGCUAAGACUGAUGGCGACCGGCGCACGGGUGCGUAACGCGUAUGCAACUUGCCUCACAGAGGGGGAUAACCCGUCGAAAGACGGACUAAUACCGCGUACACUUGGGAUAGGGCAUCCUGACCCAAGGAAAUGAAAUUCGCUGUGAGAUAGGCAUGCGUCCCAUUAGCUAGUUGGUGAGGUAACGGCUCACCAAGGCGACGAUGGGUAGGGGAACUGAGAGGUUGAACCCCCACACUGGUACUGAGACACGGACCAGACUCCUACGGGAGGCAGCAGUGAGGAAUAUUGGUCAAUGGGCGAGAGCCUGAACCAGCCAAGUCGCGUGAAGGAUGACUGUCUUAUGGAUUGUAAACUUCUUUUAUACGGGAAUAACAAGAGCCACGUGUGGCUCCCUGCAUGUACCGUAUGAAUAAGCAUCGGCUAACUCCGUG